GCUGCCCUCGCAUCCCGGGGCGGGGACUCACCUUCUCUGAGGCAAGGGCAGGUGUCUACUUUAAAACUACUGUCCCCCCUCCCCGCCGCAGCCAUAGUGGAGCCGCCAAAGCUGCCGCCGUUACUCCACUGCACCGAUCGGCAGGCUGAGUGGAGAUGGCAGUGCAGGCAGGCACAAUCACCGCCACUGCCGCUGCCUACGCGGCGGCGAAGGCGACAAAAAUGGUAGUUUCCUGGGGGGAAGGCUUCACCAGCGCCGGCAGGGUGACAGCGUUUGGCGUCGCCGCUGUCGCAGCUAGGAGUGAACUAUCGCACUUUCGUCUAAAUUCCAUUUGGCUUCUUUAGCCACGCCCAUUCCUUGGACCCGCCUCUCGCAGCUUCAAAGGUGGCAAUGCAGAGAAGUGGGAUACCCAAGCUGCUAUAUACCAUCAUGGAACAUCCUUGAGCCACAGCAAGCUCAUUCAGUUUGUUUGCUGUCAGUUCUUUGCAGGAGGCAAGCAUCAUUCAACAGAACACACUCCAGGCCAAGUGCUCUGUUGAAGAUCCUUCCUAAGACCCACUUACAACACUGAGAAGUCACUGGCAGGAUGUGGCAACAUAGAAAAGCUAUGCUCCUUCUCAGACCACUUAGAGUAUGUGAUGUGAGAAGAUGGAAAGGACAUUUUCCAGAGAUGUUAAGUGGUACACCGAUGCCUGUCAUUUCCAUAAACUUCAGUAUGAAUGGGGGGGAGCUGAAGACUGUGCACAUAUGUCCAUAUGUGUGUAUACACAUGUGUGUAAGCACAUGUGCAAGUGUGGGGCCAUAUUUGUCCCAGAUACACAUGUUGGUGGCACUAUUGGGCAUGUUAGAGCUUCUCUCCCAAUGGGUAAGUAUGGGAGGUAGGAAGACAGUUCAAGAAUGAAGACUUUGAGGACUAAUGGGGCAAGUUACUUCCCAUACCCAGAAUGAUGCUUGAAGAUAAUCACGGAGCAGAAACUGACACACAGUAUCUCUCCUACUCAGGACCACUCAGCAUUCAGUUUGAGUCAGCAACACCAGCAAGGCUCUCCCUGAUUACACACUUUCCAUGUUUCAUUCCCAGCUUUCUUUUAGCCCAGGACUUGGUAAGCUGUAUGUAUUUACAUAAAUACUGCCCUGUAUUAUUAUUUCAGAACUCAUCAGAACAGAGGGAACUAUACUGGGAGUCUAGCUCCUUUAAGGACCUUCCAAGUAUCCUGACAGGGACUCAGGAAAGAAUAAUUACGUGGAGCAAAGAUGCACACUGGAUCUCAUUAAACAGUGCCUUUCUUUCAGUGCUAGUUAUUGAAUCUAGGUACUUGUGCAUAUUUCAUGAGCAUUCUACCACUGAGAUUUGACCACAGAUAUUUAUUUAUUUAUUCAGUUACUUAGUUAUUUUGAGACAGGAUUUCACUACAUUGCUCAGACUGGACUUAACAUAUAUUGAAGUGCAGGUAUGUCUUGAACUUGUGAUCCUCCAGAGUAUCUGGCACAGUAAACUUAUUGCACUAUGCCUGGCUUUACUUAUUGGGUGUAUGUGCAUGGUACUAGGGAUUGACCAUAGAACCACAUGCAUGCCAGGUUCCCCAGCCAGCGGGGAGUUGAACAAGGACUCGAGGAAAAGCUAACCUGGGUAAAAAAGGCAAACAGACACAAGAAGGAGACCAUGCUAGA
Jaculus jaculus (lesser Egyptian jerboa) is the source of this 1671-nucleotide long non-coding RNA. RefSeq lists it as uncharacterized. The record is from RefSeq and is a predicted model, not a curated record. NCBI's taxonomy places the organism in Eukaryota, Metazoa, Chordata, Mammalia, Rodentia, Dipodidae. The transcript is spliced from 3 exons.